This 450-nucleotide ribosomal RNA is filed under the name uncultured bacterium. Its description in RNAcentral is "partial 16S ribosomal RNA". It matches the Rfam family "Bacterial small subunit ribosomal RNA", at positions 354 to 796 of the family's 1533-position model. The record is from RNAcentral.
GUGGGGAAUAUUGGACAAUGGGCGAAAGCCUGAUCCAGUCAUGCCGCGUGUGUGAAGAAGGUCUUCGGAUUGUAAAGCACUUUAAGUUGGGAGGAAGGGCAGUAAGUUAAUACCUUGCUGUUUUGACGUUACCGACAGAAUAAGCACCGGCUAACUUCGUGCCAGCAGCCGCGGUAAUACGAAGGGUGCAAGCGUUAAUCGGAAUUACUGGGCGUAAAGCGCGCGUAGGUGGUUCAGUAAGUUGGAAGUGAAAUCCCCGGGCUCAACCUGGGAACUGCUUUCAAAACUGCUGAGCUAGAGUACGGUAGAGGGUGGUGGAAUUUCCUGUGUAGCGGUGAAAUGCGUAGAUAUAGGAAGGAACACCAGUGGCGAAGGCGACCACCUGGACUGAUACUGACACUGAGGUGCGAAAGCGUGGGGAGCAAACAGGAUUAGAUACCCCAGUAGUCC